This 260-nucleotide ribosomal RNA is filed under the name uncultured archaeon. Its description in RNAcentral is "partial 16S ribosomal RNA". It matches the Rfam family "Archaeal small subunit ribosomal RNA", at positions 748 to 1008 of the family's 1478-position model. The record is from RNAcentral.
CAGCCGUAAACAAUGUGCGUUAGGUGUGUCGGUAACCACGUGUUACUGAUGCGCCGAAGAGAAAUCGUGAAACGCACCACCUGGGAAGUACGGUCGCAAGGCUGAAACUUAAAGGAAUUGGCGGGGGAGCACCACAACAGGUGGAGCCUGCGGUUUAAUUGGAUUCAACACCGUAAACUCACCAGGGAAGACUGUUACAUGAAGGCCGAGAUGAAGACUCUGCUAGAUUUUCAGAGAGGAGGUGCAUGGCGUCAGUGACU